GGAGAGGUGACAGAGCGGUUAAUGUAGCUGUUUGCUAAACAGUCUUGCGGUAAAACGUGCGGGGGUUCGAUUCCCUCUCUCUCCG
This 85-nucleotide transfer RNA is filed under the name Parvimonas micra. RNAcentral describes it as "tRNA-Ser". It matches the Rfam family "tRNA". From Rfam's summary of the family: Transfer RNA (tRNA) molecules are approximately 80 nucleotides in length. Lineage: Bacteria; Bacillati; Bacillota; Tissierellia; Tissierellales; Peptoniphilaceae. The record is from RNAcentral.